RNAcentral lists this ribosomal RNA (265 nucleotides) under uncultured bacterium. Its description in RNAcentral is "partial 16S ribosomal RNA". It matches the Rfam family "Bacterial small subunit ribosomal RNA", at positions 89 to 354 of the family's 1533-position model. The record is from RNAcentral.
UACUUAGUGGCGGACGGGUGAGUAACGCGUGGGUAACCUGCCUUACACAGGGGGAUAACACCUGGAAACAGGUGCUAAUACCGCAUAAGCGCACAGGGCCGCAUGGCCCGGUGUGAAAAACUCCGGUGGUGUAAGAUGGACCCGCGUCUGAUUAGCUUGUUGGCGGGGUAGGGGCCCACCAAGGCGACGAUCAGUAGCCGGCCUGAGAGGGCGACCGGCCACAUUGGGACUGAGACACGGCCCAGACUCCUACGGGAGGCAGCAG